GACGAACGCUGGCGGCGUGCCUAACACAUGCAAGUCGAACGAGAUCCAUGGGAGCUUGCUCCCGGAAGAUCUAGUGGCGAACGGGUGAGUAACACGUGAGAAACCUGCCCUGGAGUGGGGAAUAACUCGGGGAAACUCGAGCUAAUACCGCAUACCCUCGGAUGGUCGCAUGGCCGACCGAGGAAAGAUUCAUCGCUCUAGGAGGGUCUCGCGGCCUAUCAGCUAGUUGGUGGGGUAACGGCCUACCAAGGCAACGACGGGUAGCUGGUUUGAGAGAACGAUCAGCCACACUGGGACUGAGACACGGCCCAGACUCCUACGGGAGGCAGCAGUGGGGAAUCUUGCGCAAUGGGCGAAAGCCUGACGCAGCAACGCCGCGUGCGGGAU
Molecule: ribosomal RNA, 387 nt
Filed under: uncultured bacterium
Lineage: Bacteria
Description: bacterial SSU rRNA
Rfam family: Bacterial small subunit ribosomal RNA
Source: RNAcentral